AGGGAGCUUGCUCCGCUGACGAGUGGCGAACGGGUGAGUAAUAUAUCGGAACGUACCCAAGAGUGGGGGAUAACGUAGCGAAAGUUACGCUAAUACCGCAUACGAUCUAAGGAUGAAAGCAGGGGACCUUCGGGCCUUGUGCUCCUGGAGCGGCCGAUAUCUGAUUAGCUAGUUGGUGAGGUAAAGGCUCACCAAGGCGACGAUCAGUAGCUGGUCUGAGAGGACGACCAGCCACACUGGAACUGAGACACGGUCCAGACUCCUACGGGAGGCAGCAGUGGGGAAUUUUGGACAAUGGGCGCAAGCCUGAUCCAGCAAUGCCGCGUGAGUGAAGAAGGCCUUCGGGUUGUAAAGCUCUUUUGUCAGGGAAGAAACGGCUGUGGCUAAUAUCCACGGCUAAUGACGGUACCUGAAGAAUAAGCACCGGCUAACUACGUGCCAGCAGCCGCGGUAAUACGUAGGGUGCAAGCGUUAAUCGGAAUUACUGGGCGUAAAGCGUGCGCAGGCGGUUUUGUAAGUCUGUCGUGAAAUCCCCGGGCUCAACCUGGGAAUUGCGAUGGAGACUGCAAGGCUAGAAUCUGGCAGAGGGGGGUAGAAUUCCACGUGUAGCAGUGAAAUGCGUAGAGAUGUGGAGGAACACCGAUGGCGAAGGCAGCCCCCUGGGUCAAGAUUGACGCUCAUGCACGAAAGCGUGGGGAGCAAACAGGAUUAGAUACCCUGGUAGUCCACGCCCUAAACGAUGUCUACUAGUUGUCGGGUUUUAAUUAACUUGGUAACGCAGCUAACGCGUGAAGUAGACCGCCUGGGGAGUACGGUCGCAAGAUUAAAACUCAAAGGAAUUGACGGGGAACCCGCACAAGCGGUGG
RNAcentral lists this ribosomal RNA (866 nucleotides) under Massilia sp. DFW-AE7-7b. RNAcentral's name for it is "bacterial SSU rRNA". It matches the Rfam family "Bacterial small subunit ribosomal RNA", at positions 73 to 935 of the family's 1533-position model. The record is from RNAcentral. Lineage: Bacteria; Pseudomonadati; Pseudomonadota; Betaproteobacteria; Burkholderiales; Oxalobacteraceae.